UUCCUCGGCCGCGCACUUAAUUCUCUCCUCCCUCCUUUCCACUUCUCUCUGCCAUCAUCGGAUACCACCACUUCCGGCCACCAAUUCACAACACCGCUACCGCCAAUCAAUUCUGGACCCAAUUCCGAUUAAAACCCAAGAAGAUCACUGCCAUCCACCGCUGCCAGCCUCAUCACGCGACCAUCAAAGUCGCGACGGCGCUGCUCCCUAGCUCUCAUCAAGUUUCGGCCAUUUUCUCAACACACCCCCGCCAUCAGCGUGCUCAGACGAAGCGGGACAUCAAAAUCCAGAAUCCUCGCCGCCGACCCAUCCGCGGAGGGCUCCGCAAGCCCCAUCGCCGGAAUCCUAGACUCUGGGUUUCUCCGGUCUUUCUUCUCCAAAUCGAAGCGAGCUCUAAUACCUCCAAGAAUGGAGUGCCUCUCCUUUUACCAAAACCAAGGGCCCCCGACUUCUGAUUUCAACCAGAGCCGCCGUGGACGCCGCCGGCUUAUCCUCUUCGUUCUGGUAACACAUUCUGCAAAGCCUCUCUUUCGUUAAUAGGUUGAGUUCCAAUUUAACUGUAAUGGAUUUAUUAAUGGUCAGUUCUUUUGAUUGUUUUUCUUCAAUUUCGUACUUGGAGGAAACGGUGGAAAUUCAAAUGUGAAGGGGAGCUUUUGGUCUUGAUUUCUAUUGAGUUUUUAAAGGGAUGAUGAGGACCUUAGGAGGACUGCAGGAAGCACUAGGUCAUCGAGACUAUGGUCUCGGCAGGUACAAGACGUUACUUGAGCAAACCAAUUUGGGUAAGCUUCUCAUCCAUUCGAGUCGGCACAACAGUAGAUAGAUAAAUCACAGAGUGAAAGACAGGUCAAGGUGCGACCUACAGUGAGGCAACAAGUGUAUGGCAUUGAAAGACAGUGAGGUCAUAUGUAAGACGCUACCACAUUAGCGUGUUUGUGGACACAUUUGGAAGAACAAUUGUUGGAUGGAAUUGUCGGAAUGGUCCAGUAUUGGAACACGAAGAAUAGGCUCAUUGAAAAUAGUUUUAUAUAUGCACAGGAGACCACAUGACUUAACCAAGUGAAGUCUUUAAAGUAUACAGUAGUACCCUGAAUUUCUAUAAGAUCCCUGUAAUGCUGUCAACAAUUUCAGUUGUCGUUCGCACGUACCUAUGCAAAUUUGCUGCUUUGAUUCAUUCAAAGCUACCCUUUUGUCUUUCAAA
Molecule: long non-coding RNA, 1198 nt
Organism: Rosa chinensis
Lineage: Eukaryota; Viridiplantae; Streptophyta; Magnoliopsida; Rosales; Rosaceae
Exons: 2
Source: RefSeq, a predicted model, not a curated record